Parambassis ranga (Indian glassy fish) is the source of this 74-nucleotide small nucleolar RNA. The record is from Ensembl. NCBI's taxonomy places the organism in Eukaryota, Metazoa, Chordata, Actinopteri, Ambassidae.
UUCACUGAUGAAAACCGCUGUAUAGGAAGUGCCGUCUGAUGCGAUAACUGACGCUGGACUCAGCUGUUCUGAGA